This 405-nucleotide ribosomal RNA is filed under the name uncultured bacterium. Its description in RNAcentral is "partial 16S ribosomal RNA". It matches the Rfam family "Bacterial small subunit ribosomal RNA", at positions 28 to 526 of the family's 1533-position model. The record is from RNAcentral.
GACGAACGCUGGCGGCGUGCUUAACACAUGCAAGUCGAACGAGUGGCGAACGGGUGAGUAACACGUGGGUGAUCUGCCUUGCACUUCGGGAUAAGCUUGGGAAACUGGGUCUAAUACCGGAUAGUGCAAGAUGAGCUCGCGGCCUAUCAGCUUGUUGGUGGGGUAAUGGCUACCAAGGCGCGACGGGUAGCCGGCCUGAGAGGGGGUACGGCCACAUUGGGACUGGGAUACGGCCCAGACUCGUACGGGAGGCAGCAGUGGUGAAUAUUGCACAAUGGGCGGAAGCCUGAUGCAGCGACGCCGCGUGGGGGAUGAAGGCCUUCGGGUUGUAAACUUCUGUAGCGAGCGAGUAAGUAGCUCGAGAAUAAGUAUCGGCUAACUCCGUGCCAGCAGCCGCGGUAAUUC